UGGGGAAUUUUGGACAAUGGGCGAAAGCCUGAUCCAGCAAUGCCGCGUGUGUGAAGAAGGCCUUCGGGUUGUAAAGCACUUUUGUCCGGAAAGAAAUCCUUGGUUCUAAUAUAACCGGGGGAUGACGGUACCGGAAGAAUAAGCACCGGCUAACUACGUGCCAGCAGCCGCGGUAAUACGUAGGGUGCGAGCGUUAAUCGGAAUUACUGGGCGUAAAGCGUGCGCAGGCGGUUUGCUAAGACCGAUGUGAAAUCCCCGGGCUCAACCUGGGAACUGCAUUGGUGACUGGCAGGCUAGAGUAUGGCAGAGGGGGGUAGAAUUCCACGUGUAGCAGUGAAAUGCGUAGAGAUGUGGAGGAAUACCGAUGGCGAAGGCAGCCCCCUGGGCCAAUACUGACGCUCAUGCACGAAAGCGUGGGGAGCAAACA
Molecule: ribosomal RNA, 427 nt
Filed under: uncultured Burkholderiaceae bacterium
Lineage: Bacteria; Pseudomonadati; Pseudomonadota; Betaproteobacteria; Burkholderiales; Burkholderiaceae
Also listed under: 1 other name
Description: partial 16S ribosomal RNA
Rfam family: Bacterial small subunit ribosomal RNA
Source: RNAcentral